Molecule: long non-coding RNA, 3541 nt
Organism: Mus musculus (house mouse)
Lineage: Eukaryota; Metazoa; Chordata; Mammalia; Rodentia; Muridae
Product: predicted gene, 31754
Exons: 4
Source: RefSeq, a predicted model, not a curated record
CUGGGGCGGAUUAGACAGCUCUGUCAGGGCACUUGAGUGUAGAAGCCAAGCUGUGCCUCCUUCAGUGUACCUCAGAGUUAAGUGCUCAGUGCACCGUGUGGAACAUAAAGUCAGCAUAACGGAGUGGACUCUAGCUCCUUUCUCACCAAUCAGCUGACCACGGGUUCUUUUCCUCUAUGUGGACAGGACUACGAUAGCAGUGUGAUCUGGCCCCAUGUAACAUCUCUCGGCCUGAGGACAGUUCCGUGCAACUCUUCGGGUGACCAGAGGCCGCUUCCAGAAGCAGCCUGCAUUGAUGAACAGAGGCAAGGAGAGAGAGCUCUAAGGAGACCUGCUGUUGCAAUACCAGAAGAGGCAGCCUGGCAGAGUGUCUGCCAGCCUACUCUGUGAGCUUAAGCAACCUGCUAUGCAGCCCCAGAAGGGGUCUUUGGACCAAUCACAGCUACUUGUUUGGUCAGUCACUAGCUAAAGAGAUUGGGGCUUAUGUAUUGGGCAGGUUAUGCUCAGUCCUUUAGCAUUUACUGAAGAAAGUAAGAGCCUCCCCCAGCCAAGGUGGACACGGUUAUUUGAAGGUCAAGGCUUCAGACUAGCGGGCUAAAUGGUUUUAAACAACUCUGGGUGGGGCUGAACCUUCAAGAUCCACAGAGACCAAACACAAGCUUUUAUAUAGUUGUCUCAAGGUGUGUUUAAGGAGUGCUGAAGAUACCUGGUGCUGGUGUAACAUAGUCUGUCUGUCUGUCUGUCUGUCAUACUGAUAGACCUUUUGCUCUGGGAGCUUGGGUAGUGCAAGAGAGUCUAGUCUGCCAGCUGCUAACUAGGUAGUCUUUAUUCUCUGCUUUGAGAAAAAUGAACCACAGAAAGAGUGCUUACAGUCUGAGUUUAUAGAACUUCUGUGAACAGGAGCAUUGAUUUUUAGCAGAUCUCAACCAUGCUUUGACAAUACUUCAUCCCUGUCCAGUGACCAGAGAGAGGUAGGCCCUGGUCUGUCUCACCCUCAUUGACUCUAAAGCUAGCAAGGUAGCAGAGUCUAUAUUCCAGGCUGAACAUAGACACCCAAGCAGAACUUGACCUUAGGACCUGAGUAUAGACAACCUGUCUCUCCUUAGUCUACUGUGACCUGGACUGAUCUUAGGUUUCCUCUACAAGAACAGGAGUAGACCUCCCUGGCAGUAUGGGACACCCUGAAUCUCUCUAACUCUCCAGCUGUGCUUUCUAGGCAGAACUGAAUCCAGCAGCUCCAAAGAGAUCAGCAUCUCCGGUUCCAGCCUUGGCUCUGCACACUGCAGAGUUCAGGGUUUCUCAGCUGGUCUGAAAGGCAGCAAACUCCAGAAUCACUCCCAUCUCCAUUGUCUUUGGACCUGGGUUCCAGGAACCUUCAGGAUGCCAGGCUUGGUACUGGUAUCCAAAUUCUAGUCCUCACUAUUACUUAGCAAGCAUUCUUAACUGCUGAGCCAUCUCUCCAGCCCCAAGCUUGUGACUUCUAAGAGAGCUGUCCAGGUCUCUGGGCACACACUCGCUCUGCCAUAAUGUUCUGCUCAACUAUCAAACUUGGAUCAACCUGUCUGUAACCAUGAGCCAAGGAGCCCUACUCCUUCAGAUUGGUUAUGUCAGGUAUUCAGUCACAGUGGCACAUAAGAAAAUGGUGCAUGUCAAUAGAGACAUGUCAAUAGAGACAUUGAUAGAAAGAUUGGCUGGAGUCAGUCACUGGCGUCAAUGCUGUCCCUGCAGUUCUGAGAGCUCCUAUGCCCUUCACAGCCUCUUGUCAAGUUCACCUCAGAAGAACGAGUUGGCUUUACUCUUAUCGUUUCCAGUUCAUCUUCUACCUGAGCUCUUUGUUUUCUCACAGGCAUGCAUCCAGCACUCAGAACUGAGGGAAGUACUUUCCACUUCCUGCCUUCUCCGCCCUCCCUGCUCCCUGAAUUCUGAGGAAGAAACUCAAUACCCAGCAAACACUGGAAAGUGCCCUGCUGACGCAGACUACCCUCUUAACCUAAAAUCCCAUCUCCAGGACCCACUGAAUGAUCAACUGUUAUUACUUCUAAAUGUGGGCCAUCCUGGCUGGCUCUGCUCAUGUGAGUUUCUGUGAUUCAAAUGGCAGUUUGGACACAGAGGCAAGCAGACAGCGUUAUAUACACACCGCACUUGCUCAGAUCACUACACUGCCUCUGUUGAUUGACCCAAGGUUGGACAGCAUUAGGACUCCAUUAGCAAAUAAACAGAAAGGCUGUUCCAAGCACCAUCAAAUAUUAUCUCAGGUUCUAUAAUUACGAGAGGAGAUAGACUCUUGCACUUGAUUUCUGGGAAUGCAUGCACACGAUCAAAGUCAGAAAAUAAUCCUAAAUAAACCUUAAAAAUUAUUGUUGCAACACAAGAAGCUCCAGGAAAAUCAGCUUGAUUAAAUUUCAUUUUUCUAAGAACCAGCUAAUGAAAUUCUAUUCACUUGAGUAAUACAACCUAUUUAGCCACUCAAAUGACUGGACCCUCCCCCCAAAACAGUAAGGAGAGGGAAAACGGUGCUCCUCGAUGUUCUUGGGGGAGACUCUGGUUCUUUAAGGGAUGUAAAAUUUCAGAAGUAUUUUAAGGUAGUUUAGGGUCACAGGGUACAGAUUUUGAUCUCACGGUUCUCGAAGGGACUGGAUUGUGCACAAAGUCAAGAAGCAAGUACCUGGGAUGUGCCCAGGGUGGGCGGUUCCUGCACACAAGCACACACAACAAAAAACUUGCUACAGAGAGGAGCAAAAGGAAAGCAGGAGGUGAACCUUGAUUUUUGCCAUUAUUGAAGCCUGCUUCUCAGUGUGUUCUAACAGGAGACACAGGACAUGGGGUCGUAUAAUUCCCAUGCUUAUGACAUGGGGUCAUGUGAUUCCUGUGCUCACAACAUGGGGCCAUGUGACUCCCUCGCUCUCUGCUAUCAGUAUCUUGCAGGAGCCCUGGAGGAAAAAAUUUUGUGCUCAGUUGACUAGUGCAAAAAGCAGUUCAGGUAAAAUUUAGCUUUUCCCAGGUCUGAACCAAUGGCUAAAAGAAAACCUUGAUCCCCUCCACUCCCCCCACGGCUGCUCAACUUCUUGUCAAGAAGGACUAGCUUUGUCAGUGACCUGGGCAAGGGCUACAGCACUGUUCUGUUCACUAUAGCCAUGAGGUGGCUCAGAAGAUAAGCCACUGAGGAACUCAAAAGACCUGUUUGCCCAAGACAUUAAAAGGAGGCUAAAUUGAAAAUCUGAGCACUCUAGUUGGGGUGCAUUCUUCAGGGAGUGUAAUGAAUUCUUCGCUUAUUCAUAAAUCAGAGCCUUACUGUAACCCCCUUCCCCCCAGCCUGAAAUCUGACUGAUCAGGUUUGACUGUUAGCACCAGGAGAGCAUCAGGGGUGGAGCCUGUCACCCUAUAGGUCUGCCACUCCCACUGCUACUACCUGCCGCCUAGCUGUUCCGGAGCCAACACGUGGUCACCUGCAACUGGACUCCAUGGAUGAUUUGGUGGGAAUGGGCACCUCCCCCCUCUUCAUAACCCCAUGUCUCCGAAUAGUAAAAUUGAACCUUGAUCA